ACGAACGCUGGCGGUGUGCUUAACACAUGCAAGUCGCACGGUAAGGCCCUUUCGGGGGUACACGCGUGGCGAACGGGUGAGUAACACGUGAGUAACCUGCCCUCAUCUCUGGGAUAACAGUCGGAAACGGUUGCUAAUACUGGAUAUGAGCUUGCAAGGCAUCUUGUGGGUUGGAAAGAUUUUUUUUGGUUGGGGAUGGACUCGCGGCCUAUCAGCUUGUUGGUGAGGUAGUGGCUCACCAAGGCUUCGACGGGUAGCCGGCCUGAGAGGGCGACCGGCCACAUUGGGACUGAGAUACGGCCCAAACUCCUACGGGAGGCAGCAGUGGGGAAUAUUGCACAAUGGACGGAAGUCUGAUGCAGCAACGCCGCGUGCGGGAUGACGGCCUUCGGGUUGUAAACCGCUUUCAAUUGUGACGAAGCUUUUUUGUGACGGUAGCAGUAGAAGAAGCACCGGCUAACUACGU
This 466-nucleotide ribosomal RNA is filed under the name uncultured bacterium. RNAcentral's name for it is "partial 16S ribosomal RNA". It matches the Rfam family "Bacterial small subunit ribosomal RNA", at positions 29 to 506 of the family's 1533-position model. The record is from RNAcentral.